UACAUGCAGUCGAACGGUACACGAAGAGCUUGGUUUCUGGUGAGAAGAGGGGGGCGGGGGAGUAAUGUGUGGGGAACUGUGGGAGGGGGGGGGAGAUCUACAGUGACGGUGGCUCAUACCCCACAAAGUCUCAGAGCCCAGAGGGGGGCCUUCGGGCCUCUUGCCCUCUCAUGUGCCCAGAUGGGAUUAGCUGGAGAGGGGGGUAACGGCGCUCCUAGGCGACAAUACCUAGCUGGUCUGAGAGAAGGACCACCCACACUGUGACUGAGACACGGUCCCCACACCUACGGGAGGCGUCAGUGGGGAAUAUUGUGCAAUGGGGGCAAGCCUGAGGCACCCCUGCGGCGUGUGUAAGGAAAGCCUUCUGGUUGUGUAGUACUUUCUCCGGGGAGAAAAGUGUUGUGGUUAUUAACCCCUAGUACUGUGAUUUUACCCACAAAAAACGCCGGCGAACUCUCUGUCCCCUCCCCCGCUGGUACGCAGGGUGCGCGCGUUUUAUUGGAGUUUUUGGGGGCGUAACGCACACAGGCGGUCUGUGUAGUCUCAUAUGAAAUCUCCCGGCUCUCCCUGGGAACUCCGUGUUAGACUGGGGUGAUGUAGACUUGUGUAGAGGGGGGUAAUUCUCCGUGUGUAGCUGAGAUAUGUAUAGAGAUCUAGAAAUAUACGUGUGGCAAAGUGGGCCCCCUGUACAAACACAGUGACUCUCGUGUGAGAACGUGGGGAGAGCACAUGAUUAUGAUAUACCGGGACUCUACACCGUAAACGAUGUCUGAUUUGUAGGUUGGUGUCCUUGUGGCGUGUGUUCCUGCAGAUCAUACGUUAUAUCGACCGCCGUGUGGGAGUACAGCGACACGGUUGAAAACUCUCAUGAGGAAUUGACGGGGCGCCCGCACACGUGGGGUAGCAUGUUGUUGUUAAUUCUUAUGAAACGUCGCAGAACCUUACCUGCGUCUUGACAUCAUCCACAAAAUUUUCCAAAAAUGUCUUGGUGACCCUUCGGGGACUGUGAGGACACGUGCUGCAUGGCCGUCGUCAGCUCGUCUUGUGAAAUGUUGGGUUAAGUCCCCCAACGAGCCAAACCCUUAUUCUUUUUUGCCAGCGGUUAGGCCGAGAACUAAGAGAAGACUCCCAGUGAUAAACUAAAAGAAGGUGGGGACGACCUCAAGUCAUCGCGGCCCUUACGACCAGGGCUUCACACGUGCUACAAUGGCGCAUACAAAGAGAAGCGACCUCGCGAGAGCAAGCGGACCUCAUAAAUGCGUCGUAGUCCGGAUUGGAGUCUGCAACUCGACUCCAUGAAGUCGGAAUCGCUAGUAAUCGUGGAUCAGAAUGCCACGGUGAAUACGUUCCCGGGCCUUGUACACACCGCCCGUCACACCAUGGGAGUGGGUUGCAAAAGAAGUAGGUAGCUUAACCUUCGGGAGGGCGCUACCACUU
Molecule: ribosomal RNA, 1437 nt
Filed under: Enterobacter cloacae
Lineage: Bacteria; Pseudomonadati; Pseudomonadota; Gammaproteobacteria; Enterobacterales; Enterobacteriaceae
Description: bacterial SSU rRNA
Rfam family: Bacterial small subunit ribosomal RNA
Source: RNAcentral